RNAcentral lists this small nucleolar RNA (121 nucleotides) under Cuculus canorus (common cuckoo). Lineage: Eukaryota; Metazoa; Chordata; Aves; Cuculiformes; Cuculidae. The record is from RNAcentral.
UUGCACUGUUUGUAACCUCUUGACAGCAUAUUUCUGUGUAAAGGUUCCAUUCCAGUGCUGCGUGAAAUCCAGUAAUGGAAGGUCGACUAAUGCUAUGUCCCUUCUGUAUUUGGAGACAAAA